This 854-nucleotide ribosomal RNA is filed under the name uncultured bacterium. RNAcentral describes it as "bacterial SSU rRNA". It matches the Rfam family "Bacterial small subunit ribosomal RNA", at positions 9 to 869 of the family's 1533-position model. The record is from RNAcentral.
GAGUUUUGAUCUUGGGCUCAGGACCGAACGCCUGGCGGCGUGCUUAACCACAUGCAAGUCGAACGGUAAGGGCCCCAGCUUGCUGGGGUACACGAGUGGCGAACGGGUGAGUAACACGUGGGUGACUUGCCCCGCACUUCGGGAUAAGCCUGGGAAACUGGGUCUAAUACCGGAUAGGACCGCACCGUGAGGGUGUGGUGGAAAGUUUUUUCGGUGUGGGAUGGGCCCGCGGCCUAUCAGCUUGUUGGUGGGGUAAUGGCCUACCAAGGCGGCGACGGGUAGCCGGCCUGAGAGGGUGGACGGCCACAUUGGGACUGAGACACGGCCCAGACUCCUACGGGAGGCAGCAGUGGGGAAUAUUGCACAAUGGGCGGAAGCCUGAUGCAGCGACGCCGCGUGGGGGAUGACGGCCUUCGGGUUGUAAACUCCUUUCACCAUCGACGAAGGUUUUCUGACGGUAGAUGGAGAAGAAGCACCGGCUAACUACGUGCCAGCAGCCGCGGUAAUACGUAGGGUGCGAGCGUUGUCCGGAAUUACUGGGCGUAAAGAGCUCGUAGGUGGUUUGUCGCGUCGUCUGUGAAAUUCCGGGGCUUAACUCCGGGCGUGCAGGCGAUACGGGCAUAACUUGAGUACUGUAGGGGAGACUGGAAUUCCUGGUGUAGCGGUGAAAUGCGCAGAUAUCAGGAGGAACACCGGUGGCGAAGGCGGGUCUCUGGGCAGUAACUGACGCUGAGGAGCGAAAGCAUGGGUAGCGAACAGGAUUAGAUACCCUGGUAGUCCAUGCCGUAAACGGUGGGCGCUAGGUGUAGGGGUCUUCCACGACUUCUGUGCCGUAGCUAACGCAUUAAGCGCCC